UAUCAAACUUUUUUUUUAUUUUCCUCUUCCUCUUGGUCGAAUACCCUCAUACCCACACAAUUAGACUUUAUUUUAGUCUCCAAAUCUGAAUUCAAGGCCUAAAGGAUCAAGCUCAAAUCGUUUCUAGUGUUCCAAGUGUUGUGAGUUAAAAGAUCAAAGAUCAAGCUCCUUCUCAUCUAUCAUUUUUUUUUCUCCAUCGUAACACUUGGACACGAGAAGGUUAUUUCAAGCUUGGGGCUUUUCUUGUCUUUAUUUGGUAUAUGGAGUAUUAUGCUGUACCGGCCAGGAGCAAAUGCAUAGGACGAUGACCGUGACACGCUAGGGUGGACUCGGGCCUUAGUGACAUAAAACAGAGCUAGACUUAGUUUAAUUACAUUAUGUACUCUUUAUUUCAGUAGAUUUAAGACAAUGUAACAUGAUGGUUCUUGUUUUGAACAAUGUAUUCCACCCUUGGGUGAUGAAUAAAAUAUUAUU
This 474-nucleotide long non-coding RNA is filed under the name Helianthus annuus (common sunflower). Its description in RNAcentral is "sRNA HanXRQr2_Chr01g0005131". The record is from RNAcentral. Lineage: Eukaryota; Viridiplantae; Streptophyta; Magnoliopsida; Asterales; Asteraceae.